UUUCCUUAAUUGCAUAACUUGUGGUUAUUGCUAGAAGGAAGAGGUUCCCAGGUAACCAGCAAUAGGAUGAGAGGUGAUGGCCUCAAGUUGCACCAGAGGAGGUUCAGCUCAAGUGUGAGAACUUCCUCCUGUGAAAGCAGUCAGGCACUGGCACAGGCUGCCCAGGGAGUGGUGGGAUCACCAUCCUGAGAAGUGUUCCAGGGCUGUGGAGAUGUGGCAUGGAGGGAUAUGGGGCUUGCAGCCAGAUCUGCCAGAGGUGACCGCAGGCCACGCAACACUACACUUCCUAUCAGCUCCAGCUUCACCCUAUAGGCUUGUGGACCUGAUGCCACCUACUUCCUCACGUCAUUCUUAUUUUUUCUCUUUCUUGUCUCUCUCACACGUCGCCACAUAAGGAUGUGUCGUCCGUAGCAACAUGAUGUAAUGCUGAGCCCAACAGGCAAGUUAAAGCAAUGCCCCAGCAGCCUGGUGCUGGCACGCUUUUUCCGGAUCUCACAAUAGCUGACAAGGGAAUUUACACCUCCAGGGAAUUUGCACCUGACAGUCAGUGUGAGGCACAGCUGCUGCUCUUCACAUCUCUGCUGCUCUUUUCUGCUCUCUCGUGUUUUAUUUUCAAGGGAAAGCCAGAGCCCAGCGUAACAGGAGCUCCAUAAAAACUUCAUUUUCCACCAAAAAAAGGACUGUGCCUGUGUUGAGUAUCUUUCUGAGGCCUGCCAAACAGGAAUGCUUCUUACAAGAACUCUGUGCCUCUUUGGAAAGGCAAUAAGAGAGGGAUUUUAUGCCAUCGGAUCAAGAAGGCUGUUACUUUGUGAUACCUUCAGGUAGGACAGUGUCAGCCGUGCCCACACCCCGUGUUAUCAGUGCUCACCUUCCUAAGUGCAAUUAACAGCAGGAUUUGACCGUCAUCGCUGAUAUUUAGAUAAGAGAAUUCCCAAUCCAUCAGUUAUCUCUGCUCCUCCCUGAAGAACAGAUAAAACAGAAGAUAAAAGCCUUCGCCUGUUCUUUCUUUCCUGGGAAUGACUGCAGUGCAAAGGGGUUGAAACCUCUCCGUGGGAUCUCACAGUGCAUCCCAAGCUAGGGAGUGUGAUCUGCCUUCCAAAUAUUUGCUCAGCUAGCUCCAAGGCACGGCAGGGAGAGCAGUGAAGAAGAAGCCAUCGUGAUGCUGACGCUGGGGCCGGGCACGUUGCUUCUCUCCCAGCAAUCCACAGAGCACAGUGUGCCACGUACCGAGCAGCAUCAAACGCUCCGCGGCCUAAAAACCGAGGGAAAUGCCCCGUGGCCAGAGGGAAAUAUAA
Molecule: long non-coding RNA, 1295 nt
Organism: Numida meleagris (helmeted guineafowl)
Lineage: Eukaryota; Metazoa; Chordata; Aves; Galliformes; Numididae
Exons: 3
Source: RefSeq, a predicted model, not a curated record